GGAACCCAAGUCCAGAGCCAUUUUCAAAUGUCAUCCCUUUCUAGUUAUGGCAAAUAAGAAACCAAGAAACACAACAGGAUUUUGAACUGAAUCAAAGAGUUUUACAAGACUCAAGAUGUUGGCUGGUAGAAAUCCAAGUCAAAAAUGGCGAGUCACAAUAUCUUUCCUCUAGGCAAGAAAAAAAAAGAAGAUAAGGGAAAGACAAAGGAAGGAAAUGGAAGGAAAGGACAAAGAAGGAAAGUCUACUCUGAAUCUUGACAUGUCAGCUUGAUUCUAGAAGUGCGUUUACCUGGAGGACUUACCCACAACUUUAACCUUGAUGCUUGCAUGUGCCUCUCCAGCUUCGUUUUUCAGAUUGAUGUGGUAAACACCAGAGUCAUCUCUUUCAGCUAUAUCAAUGACCAGAGUGCUGCUAUCAGG
Homo sapiens (human) is the source of this 420-nucleotide long non-coding RNA. RefSeq lists it as uncharacterized. The record is from RefSeq and is a predicted model, not a curated record. NCBI's taxonomy places the organism in Eukaryota, Metazoa, Chordata, Mammalia, Primates, Hominidae. The transcript is spliced from 3 exons.